This 444-nucleotide ribosomal RNA is filed under the name uncultured bacterium. RNAcentral describes it as "bacterial SSU rRNA". It matches the Rfam family "Bacterial small subunit ribosomal RNA", at positions 355 to 796 of the family's 1533-position model. The record is from RNAcentral.
UAAGGAAUAUUGGUCAAUGGACGCAAGUCUGAACCAGCCAUGCCGCGUGGAGGAUGAAGGUCCUCUGGAUUGUAAACUUCUUUUAUCUGGGACGAAAAAAGGUUUUUCUAGACCGACUGACGGUACCAGAUGAAUAAGCACCGGCUAACUCCGUGCCAGCAGCCGCGGUAAUACGGAGGGUGCAAGCGUUAUCCGGAUUCACUGGGUUUAAAGGGUGCGUAGGUGGAUUAGUAAGUCAGUGGUGAAAUCUCCGGGCUUAACCCGGAAACUGCCAUUGAUACUAUUAGUCUUGAAUACCGUGGAGGUCAGCGGAAUAUGUCAUGUAGCGGUGAAAUGCUUAGAUAUGACAUAGAACACCAAUUGCGAAGGCAGCUGGCUACACGAAUAUUGACACUCAGGCACGAAAGCGUGGGGAUCAAACAGGAUUAGAUACCCCUGUAGUCC